GGUGAUUGUAGUUCAGUUGGUUAGAACGCCUGGUUGUGGUCCAGGAGGUCGCCGGUUCGAGUCCGGUCUUUCACCC
This 76-nucleotide transfer RNA is filed under the name Bacteroidia bacterium. Its description in RNAcentral is "tRNA-His". It matches the Rfam family "tRNA". Rfam says of the family: Transfer RNA (tRNA) molecules are approximately 80 nucleotides in length. Their secondary structure includes four short double-helical elements and three loops (D, anti-codon, and T loops). RNAcentral also lists the same sequence under 3 other names. Lineage: Bacteria; Pseudomonadati; Bacteroidota; Bacteroidia. The record is from RNAcentral.